This 68-nucleotide transfer RNA is filed under the name Vermiophis taishanensis. RNAcentral describes it as "tRNA-Pro". The record is from RNAcentral. Lineage: Eukaryota; Metazoa; Arthropoda; Insecta; Diptera; Vermileonidae.
CAGGAAAUAGUUUAAUAAAUAAAAUAUUAAUUUUGGAGAUUAAUGAAAGAAGUAAAUUCUUUUCCUGA